RNAcentral lists this ribosomal RNA (497 nucleotides) under uncultured bacterium. RNAcentral describes it as "partial 16S ribosomal RNA". It matches the Rfam family "Bacterial small subunit ribosomal RNA", at positions 28 to 507 of the family's 1533-position model. The record is from RNAcentral.
GAUGAACGCUGGCGGCGUGCCUAAUACAUGCAAGUCGAGCGAACGAACGAGAAGCUUGCUUCUCUGAUGCUAGCGGCGGACGGGUGAGUAACACGUGGAUAACCUACCUAUAAGACUGGGAUAACUUCGGGAAACCGGAGCUAAUACCGGAUAAUAUUUUGAACCGCAUGGUUCAAAAGUGAAAGACGGUCUUGCUGUCACUUAUAGAUGGAUCCGCGCUGCAUUAGCUAGUUGGUAAGGUAACGGCUUACCAAGGCAACGAUGCAUAGCCGACCUGAGAGGGUGAUCGGCCACACUGGAACUGAGACACGGUCCAGACUCCUACGGGAGGCAGCAGUAGGGAAUCUUCCGCAAUGGGCGAAAGCCUGACGGAGCAACGCCGCGUGAGUGAUGAAGGUCUUCGGAUCGUAAAACUCUGUUAUUAGGGAAGAACAUAUGUGUAAGUAACUGUGCACAUCUUGACGGUACCUAAUCAGAAAGCCACGGCUAACUACGUG